Molecule: ribosomal RNA, 467 nt
Filed under: uncultured bacterium
Lineage: Bacteria
Description: partial 16S ribosomal RNA
Rfam family: Bacterial small subunit ribosomal RNA
Source: RNAcentral
GACGAACGCUGGCGGCGUGCUUAACACAUGCAAGUCGAACGGAAAGGCCCUGCUUUUGUGGGUGCUCGAGUGGCGAACGGGUGAGUAACACGUGAGUAACCUGCCCUUGACUUUGGGAUAACUUCAGGAAACUGGGGCUAAUACCGGAUAGGAGCUCCUGCUGCAUGGUGGGGGUUGGAAAGUUUCGGCGGUUGGGGAUGGACUCGCGGCUUAUCAGCUUGUUGGUGGGGUAGUGGCUUACCAAGGCUUUGACGGGUAGCCGGCCUGAGAGGGUGACCGGCCACAUUGGGACUGAGAUACGGCCCAGACUCCUACGGGAGGCAGCAGUGGGGAAUAUUGCACAAUGGGCGGAAGCCUGAUGCAGCAACGCCGCGUGCGGGAUGACGGCCUUCGGGUUGUAAACCGCUUUCGCCUGUGACGAAGCGUGAGUGACGGUAAUGGGUAAAGAAGCGCCGGCUAACUACGUG